Molecule: ribosomal RNA, 252 nt
Filed under: uncultured bacterium
Lineage: Bacteria
Description: partial 16S ribosomal RNA
Rfam family: Bacterial small subunit ribosomal RNA
Source: RNAcentral
UACGUAGGUCCCGAGCGUUGUCCGGAUUUAUUGGGCGUAAAGCGAGCGCAGGUGGUCUAUUAAGUCUGGUGUAAAAGGCAGUGGCUCAACCAUUGUAUGCAUUGGAAACUGGUAGACUUGAGUGCAGGAGAGGAGAGUGGAAUUCCAUGUGUAGCGGUGAAAUGCGUAGACAUAUGGAGGAACACCGGUGGCGAAAGCGGCUCUCUGGCCUAUAACUGACACUGAGGCUCGAAAGCGUGGGGAGCAAACAGG